Molecule: small RNA, 527 nt
Filed under: Pongo abelii (Sumatran orangutan)
Lineage: Eukaryota; Metazoa; Chordata; Mammalia; Primates; Hominidae
Description: processed transcript
Source: RNAcentral
UGAUGUUUACCAGUCUACUGUAUUUGGGAGAAUUUGAUAGAGAAGAUGAAGACCCAGAAUAUAAACCAACCAGAACACCAUUCAAAGAUGAAAUAGAUGAAUUUGCAAAUUCUCCUCCAGAGGAUAAGGAAGAAUCCAUGGAAAUACAUGCGACAGGCAAGCACAGUGAGAGUAAUGCUGAGUUAGGCCAACUUUACUGGCCUAACACUUCAACCCUGACUACACGUCUGCGCCGGCUCAUUACUGCCUAUCAGCGCAGCUAUAAAAGGCAACAGAUGAGGCAAGAGGCCCUGAUGAAGACUGACCGGCGCAGACGGCGGCCUCGAGAGGAAGUGAGAGCUCUGGAAGCGGAAAGGGAAGCUAUUAUAUCUGAGAAGCGGCAAAAGUGGACAAGAAGAGAAGAGGCUGAUUUUUACCGUGUGGUAUCCACCUUUGGGGUUAUUUUUGACCCUGUGAAACAGCAAUUUGACUGGAACCAAUUUCGAGCCUUUGCCAGGCUUGACAAAAAAUCUGAUGAGAGUUUGGAG